GGCCCGCCGUAAGGACUCUCUAACCGCCGUUUCUCUAAUGCAGGCCCGGCGGCCUCGCAGCCUCCCUUGAGUAUAGAGCACUCUAUGGCCCUGAAGAAGGCCCCGCUUCCGUGCGCCUCUAGCAAGCCACUUGUAGGCGCAGGUGAUGGAGCUCCCGAAGCUCGCUGUCUUCGAUCUGGAUUACACGCUCUGGCCAUUCUGGGUGGACACGCAUGUAGAUCCCCCAUUCCAUAAGAGCAGCGAUGGAACUGUACGAGAUAGGCGAGGCCAGACCAUCCGAUUGUACCCAGAGGUGCCCGAGGUCCUGGACCGAUUUCGGGGGCUUGGGGUGCCCGUCGCAGCUGCUUCACGGACAGGUGAAAUUGAAGGGGCCAAACAGCUACUGGAGCUCUUUGACCUUGACAGAUACUUUGUUCAGCGGGAAAUCUAUCCAGGCAGCAAGGUCACACACUUUGAGAGGCUGCGGCAGAAGACUGGAGUUCCUUUCUCCCAGAUGCUGUUCUUUGAUGAUGAGAAGCGGAAUAUUGUAGACGUCAGCAAACUGGGUACUGAGUGGUGUUACCUGCAUUCAUGUCCAGAAUGGAAUGAGUCUUCAAGUCCUAACUCAAGGAUUAGAGACAUUUGCAAAGGCCCAAGCUGGACCCUGAGGUCCAGUCCUAUGGAUGAGCCUCAUUGGAGGCAUAAAACUGAAGGAAAUCAGGAAGGCAUUUUCAGAACCUGUGGCAAACCCCUUGUGCUCCCGGCAUCCUCACUCUCUCUCCUGAGCUGUUAAGGGCAUAAAAGAACUAAAUCUUCCACUGGCCCUAGGUAACGGGGUGUAUUACCCUGCACAUUUCCUUCCAGGAAACAAAUACUUGGUUUUGAGGCGGGAUGGGGGCGGCCUUUUCAUACUUGAAAAAGAAGCAUCCCCUUCACGAGGAGCGGUGAAUUUGGAGCUGGUGGCUGGCAUCACGUGGUAGAAGUGGCCUCCUUGGCGACUGUUGAUGAUGUCACUGCAGUGCCCCAGGCUGGGAUUGGCCGAGGCCCGUGACUGAGUGAGGAGAUGCGCUCUCCCAGGAAUAAGGCGGAAGUGUGCGGGACGCCGUGGGCCCGCGGUGGGAGAGGACAGGGUUGCGAUGAGUGGUCUGGGCCGACUCUUCGGGAGGGCCCCCUGUACUUCAUUCAGUUUGAACCUGUGGUGUCAGGACCUUGGGUAUCUCCUGUGACAGCAAGUGGAACAGUGAUUAUAAAAAGCGACUGGACUUUGGUGGGGGAGUGAUAAUGAGGGGCUGUGUGUAUGUGGGUGUGUGGGAGGGAUGUGGGGAAUCUCUGUACCUUCCACUCAGUUUUGCUGUGAACCUAAAACUCCUCUAAGAAAUAAAGUCUAGCUCUGUA
Molecule: RNA transcript, 1374 nt
Organism: Phyllostomus hastatus (greater spear-nosed bat)
Lineage: Eukaryota; Metazoa; Chordata; Mammalia; Chiroptera; Phyllostomidae
Gene name: magnesium-dependent phosphatase 1
Exons: 8
Source: RefSeq, a predicted model, not a curated record